Molecule: small nuclear RNA, 105 nt
Organism: Vulpes vulpes (red fox)
Lineage: Eukaryota; Metazoa; Chordata; Mammalia; Carnivora; Canidae
Source: Ensembl
GUGCUCGCUUUGACAGCACAUACACUAAAACUGGAAUGACAGAGACGAUGAGCAUGGUCCCUGCGUAAGGAUGACGUGCGAAUUCAUGAAGCCUUCCAGUUUUUU